RNAcentral lists this ribosomal RNA (346 nucleotides) under uncultured Peredibacter sp. RNAcentral's name for it is "bacterial SSU rRNA". It matches the Rfam family "Bacterial small subunit ribosomal RNA", at positions 1014 to 1360 of the family's 1533-position model. Lineage: Bacteria; Pseudomonadati; Bdellovibrionota; Bacteriovoracia; Bacteriovoracales; Bacteriovoracaceae. The record is from RNAcentral.
UGCCCGCAAGGAAAUGUAGUGAGAGGUGCUGCAUGGCUGUCGUCAGCUCGUGUUGUGAAAUGUUGGGUUAAGUCUCGCAACGAGCGCAACCCCUAUCGUCUGUUGCCAGCAUUAAGUUGGGCACUCUGACGAGACUGCCUGGGUUAACCAAGAGGAAGGUGGGGAUGACGUCAAGUCCUCAUGGCCCUUAUGUCUAGGGCUACACACGUAAUACAAUGGCGCGUACAAAGGGAAGCGAACCUGCAAAGGGGAGCAAAUCUCAAAAAGCGCGUCUCAGUUCGGAUUGGAGUCUGCAACUCGACUCCAUGAAGUUGGAAUCGCUAGUAAUCGGAGAUCAGCACGCUCC